RNAcentral lists this ribosomal RNA (440 nucleotides) under uncultured bacterium. RNAcentral's name for it is "partial 16S ribosomal RNA". It matches the Rfam family "Bacterial small subunit ribosomal RNA", at positions 338 to 795 of the family's 1533-position model. The record is from RNAcentral.
CCUACGGGGGGCAGCAGUGGGGGAUAUUGCACAAUGGGGGAAACCCUGAUGCAGCGACGCCGCGUGGGUGAAGAAGCGCCUCGGCGCGUAAAGCCCUGUCAGCAGGGAAGAAAAUGACGGUACCUGAAGAAGAAGCCCCGGCUAACUACGUGCCAGCAGCCGCGGUAAUACGUAGGGGGCAAGCGUUAUCCGGAUUUACUGGGUGUAAAGGGGGCGCAGACGGCGAUGCAAGACAGGAGUGAAAGCCCGGGGCCCAACCCCGGGACUGCUCUUGGAAAUGCGUGGCUAGAGUGCAGGAGGGGCAGGCGGAAUUCCUGGUGUAGCGGUGAAAUGCGUAGAUAGCAGGAGGAACACCGGUGGCGAAGGCGGCCUGCUGGACUGCAACUGACGUUGAGGCCCGAAAGCGUGGGGAGCAAACAGGAUUAGAUACCCGGGUAGUC